AGAGUUUGAUCAUGGCUCAGAACGAACGCUGGCGGCGUGGAUAAGACAUGCAAGUCAGACGAGAUUUUUCGUAGUAGCAAUACGAUGGAAAAUUUAGUGGCGAACGGGUGCUUAACACGUGGGCAACCUGCCAGGAAGUGGGGGACAGCUCGCCGAAAGGCGGAUUAAUACCGCAUGUGAUUAGAGAGGACAUCCUUUCGAAAUUAAAGUCGGGGCAACCUGACGCUUCUUGUGGGGCCCGCGGCCUAUCAGCUAGUUGGUGAGGUAACGGCUCACCAAGGCUUUGACGGGUAGCUGGUCUGAGAGGACGACCAGCCACACUGGGACUGAGACACGGCCCAGACACCUACGGGUGGCAGCAGUCGAGAAUUUUUGACAAUGGGGGAAACCCUGAUCGAGCGACGCCGCGUGGAGGAUGAAGGUCUUCGGAUUGUAAACUCCUGUCAUUGGGGAACAAUGCACAGAUAUUAACUGUAUUUGUGUUGAUAGUACCCGAAGAGGAAGAGACGGCUAACUCUGUGCCAGCAGCCGCGGUAAUACAGAGGUCUCAAGCGUUGUUCGGAUUCAUUGGGCGUAAAGGGUGCGUAGGCGGCGCGGUAAGUCGGGUGUGAAAUCUCGGAGCUUAACUCCGAAACUGCAUUCGAUACUACCGUGCUUGAGGACUGGAGAGGAGACUGGAAUUUACGGUGUAGCGGUGAAAUGCGUAGAUAUCGUAAGGAAGACCAGUGGCGAAGGCGGGUCUCUGGACAGUUCCUGACGCUGAGGCACGAAGGUCAGGGGAGCAAACGGGAUUAGAUACCCUAGUAGUCC
This 810-nucleotide ribosomal RNA is filed under the name uncultured bacterium. RNAcentral's name for it is "bacterial SSU rRNA". It matches the Rfam family "Bacterial small subunit ribosomal RNA", at positions 8 to 796 of the family's 1533-position model. The record is from RNAcentral.